UACGUAGGGAGCAAGCGUUGUUCGGAUUUACUGGGCGUAAAGGGCGCGUAGGCGGCCUGUCAAGUCAAUUGUGAAAUCUCCGGGCUUAACUCGGAACGGUCAAUUGAUACUGUCAGGCUAGAGUGCAGAAAGGGCAAUCGGAAUUCUUGGUGUAGCGGUGAAAUGCGUAGAUAUCAAGAGGAACACCUGAGGCGAAGGCGGGUUGCUAGGCUGACACUGACGCUGAGGCGCGAAAGCCAGGGGAGCAAACGGG
This 253-nucleotide ribosomal RNA is filed under the name uncultured bacterium. RNAcentral describes it as "partial 16S ribosomal RNA". It matches the Rfam family "Bacterial small subunit ribosomal RNA", at positions 524 to 776 of the family's 1533-position model. The record is from RNAcentral.